RNAcentral lists this unclassified non-coding RNA (440 nucleotides) under uncultured fungus. Its description in RNAcentral is "partial internal transcribed spacer 2". The record is from RNAcentral. Lineage: Eukaryota; Fungi.
AACGCAAAUUGCGCUUUCGGGAUAGACCUGGAAGCACGUGUCUUUGAGCAUCGAUUCUACAAACCCUCGGCGGCGUGCUUUGUGAAAACGAAGCUACGUGCAGUCGGAAAAUGAGCCUUCUCGCUUAACCAGCGAGUGGCUUUAAAUGUAGCGAGUUGUCACGGGUUAAGGCGAGUGCUGAGGUGGCUUGCCACCUCUAGCCUUGUGUAGUUGGCUUAGUGCCGCUAACCAGUGAGCGUCGCUAGUGACGUGGAUAAUUUCGCUUCGUGCGAAUCCUUCCAAUACGUGACUAGGCGGACGAGUCUGGGGUGCUAAGCUCGCACUUGCUGCGAAAAGCAUGGUCUUCAGGUUGACAACGGCCUCGUUUGCCCAGUGCGCUGGUCAAACAACUAUGUCUUGAAUUAGAUCUCAAAUGAGACGAGAAUACCCGCCUAACUUAA